CUAUGCGCCUUGCCAGCCCGCUCAGGUGUGCCAGCCGCCGCGGUAAUACGGAGGAUGCGAGCGUUAUCCGGAUUUAUUGGGCUUAAAGGGUGCGUAGGCGGAAUAUCAAGUCAGCGGUAAAAAUUCGGGGCUCAACCCCGUCGUGCCGUUGAAACUGAUGUUCUUGAGUGGGCGAGAAGUAUACGGAAUGCGUGGUGUAGCGGUGAAAUGCAUAGAUAUCACGCAGAACUCCGAUUGCGAAGGCAGCAUACCGGCGCCCAACUGACGCUGAAGCACGAAAGCGUGGGUAUCGAACAGG
RNAcentral lists this ribosomal RNA (298 nucleotides) under uncultured bacterium. RNAcentral's name for it is "partial 16S ribosomal RNA". It matches the Rfam family "Bacterial small subunit ribosomal RNA", at positions 475 to 776 of the family's 1533-position model. The record is from RNAcentral.